AUUGUUAACAGAUUUUUCAAUACUUUUAUAUAACAUUUCAAGUUUCAACAUGUGGUCCAAUUAAUUGACGUUGUGUCCGAAGAUGACUUCAGAGUCGAAACACGUGUAACACAUAAAAAUAAAAAUUUAUACGAUUCAUCUUUUAAGGCCAAAAAA
Molecule: non-coding RNA, 156 nt
Organism: Onthophagus taurus
Lineage: Eukaryota; Metazoa; Arthropoda; Insecta; Coleoptera; Scarabaeidae
Source: RefSeq, a predicted model, not a curated record